This 359-nucleotide unclassified non-coding RNA is filed under the name Hevea brasiliensis (rubber tree). Lineage: Eukaryota; Viridiplantae; Streptophyta; Magnoliopsida; Malpighiales; Euphorbiaceae. The record is from RNAcentral.
GGAACACCAAAGCUUAGUAGUUAGCUCAUAGAUUUUAGAUAAGUAUGAUUUUUUCUUUCUCAAGAUUUUUAUAUGAUUCGUUAAAAGCGAAAGAAAGAAAAUUAUUAAACAAGUUUGUAGAUUAAGUAUUAUAACAUCACAACCUCACAAAGUAUACAUAGCUAAUCUAUGAACACCAAAGCAAUUCCACAUACAUUAUUCUUAAGUUGCAAUUAAAUAAUACAUACUAUUUGGAAAACAUAUAGGAGCCAAGCAGCUAGCCACCCCAUCCUUCAAGCCAGAUCAGUUUCUUGCUGCAAAAGAAUAACUAGCUAGCUUGUUGACAUAAAGGCAAGAUAUUCUCGACAUAAUUAGUGACU